CCGGCUUACCAACCCGAUGCAAACUGCGAAUACCGGAGAAUGUUAUCACGGGAGACACACGGCGGGUGCUAACGUCCGUCGUGAAGAGGGAAACAACCCAGACCGCCAGCUAAGGUCCCAAAGUCAUGGUUAAGUGGGAAACGAUGUGGGAAGGCCCAGACAGCCAGGAUGUUGGCUUAGAAGCAGCCAUCAUUUAAAGAAAGCGUAAUAGCUCACUGGUCGAGUCGGCCUGCGCGGAAGAUGUAACGGGGCUAAACCAUGCACCGAAGCUGCGGCAGCGACACUGUGUGUUGUUGGGUAGGGGAGCGUUCUGUAAGCCUGUGAAGGUGUGUCGUGAGGCAUGCUGGAGGUAUCAGAAGUGCGAAUGCUGACAUAAGUAACGAUAAAGCGGGUGAAAAGCCCGCUCGCCGGAAGACCAAGGGUUCCUGUCCAACGUUAAUCGGGGCAGGGUGAGUCGACCCCUAAGGCGAGGCCGAAAGGCGUAGUCGAUGGGAAACGGGUUAAUAUUCCCGUACUUGGUGUUACUGCGAAGGGGGGACGGAGAAGGCUAUGUUGGCCGGGCGACGGUUGUCCCGGUUUAAGCGUGUAGGUGUGUGUUCCAGGUAAAUCCGGUUCACUUUAACACUGAGGCGUGACGACGAGGCACUACGGUGCUGAAGCAACAAAUGCCCUGCUUCCAGGAAAAGCCUCUAAGCAUCAGGUAACAUCAAAUCGUACCCCAAACCGACACAGGUGGUCAGGUAGAGAAUACCAAGGCGCUUGAGAGAACUCGGGUGAAGGAACUAGGCAAAAUGGUGCCGUAACUUCGGGAGAAGGCACGCUGACACGUAGGUGAAGUGAUUUACUCAUGGAGCUGAAGUCAGUCGAAGAUACCAGCUGGCUGCAACUGUUUAUUAAAAACACAGCACUGUGCAAACACGAAAGUGGACGUAUACGGUGUGACGCCUGCCCGGUGCCGGAAGGUUAAUUGAUGGGGUCAGCGCAAGCGAAGCUCCUGAUCGAAGCCCCGGUAAACGGCGGCCGUAACUAUAACGGUCCUAAGGUAGCGAAAUUCCUUGUCGGGUAAGUUCCGACCUGCACGAAUGGCGUAAUGAUGGCCAGGCUGUCUCCACCCGAGACUCAGUGAAAUUGAACUCGCUGUGAAGAUGCAGUGUACCCGCGGCAAGACGGAAAGACCCCGUGAACCUUUACUAUAGCUUGACACUGAACAUUGAGCCUUGAUGUGUAGGAUAGGUGGGAGGCUUUGAAGUGUGGACGCCAGUCUGCAUGGAGCCGACCUUGAAAUACCACCCUUUAAUGUUUGAUGUUCUAACGUGGACCCGUUACCCGGGUUGCGGACA
Molecule: ribosomal RNA, 1340 nt
Filed under: Salmonella enterica
Lineage: Bacteria; Pseudomonadati; Pseudomonadota; Gammaproteobacteria; Enterobacterales; Enterobacteriaceae
Description: partial 23S ribosomal RNA
Rfam family: Bacterial large subunit ribosomal RNA
Source: RNAcentral